This 497-nucleotide ribosomal RNA is filed under the name uncultured bacterium. RNAcentral's name for it is "partial 16S ribosomal RNA". It matches the Rfam family "Bacterial small subunit ribosomal RNA", at positions 28 to 507 of the family's 1533-position model. The record is from RNAcentral.
GACGAACGCUGGCGGCGUGCCUAAUACAUGCAAGUAGAACGCUGAAGAGAGGAGCUUGCUCUUCUUGGAUGAGUUGCGAACGGGUGAGUAACGCGUAGGUAACCUGCCUUGUAGCGGGGGAUAACUAUUGGAAACGAUAGCUAAUACCGCAUAACAAUGGAUGACACAUGUCAUUUAUUUGAAAGGGGCAAUUGCUCCACUACAAGAUGGACCUGCGUUGUAUUAGCUAGUAGGUGGGGUAAUGGCUCACCUAGGCGACGAUACAUAGCCGACCUGAGAGGGUGAUCGGCCACACUGGGACUGAGACACGGCCCAGACUCCUACGGGAGGCAGCAGUAGGGAAUCUUCGGCAAUGGGGGCAACCCUGACCGAGCAACGCCGCGUGAGUGAAGAAGGUUUUCGGAUCGUAAAGCUCUGUUGUAAGUCAAGAACGGGUGUGAGAGUGGAAAGUUCACACUGUGACGGUAGCUGACCAGAAAGGGACGGCUAACUACGUG